GGAUGAGUAGCCUAGUGGCGAGGGCAGCAGACUGUAAAUCUGUGACAAGGAACAUCGUUGGUUCGAGUCCAACCUCAUCCA
Molecule: transfer RNA, 81 nt
Filed under: Enterocloster bolteae
Lineage: Bacteria; Bacillati; Bacillota; Clostridia; Lachnospirales; Lachnospiraceae
Description: [Clostridium] bolteae tRNA-Tyr
Rfam family: tRNA
About the family: Transfer RNA (tRNA) molecules are approximately 80 nucleotides in length. Their secondary structure includes four short double-helical elements and three loops (D, anti-codon, and T loops).
Source: RNAcentral